UACAGAGGUCUCAAGCGUUGUUCGGAUUCAUUGGGCGUAAAGGGUGCGUAGGUGGCGCUGUAAGUCGGGUGUGAAAUCUCGGGGCUUAACUCCGAAACUGCAUUCGAUACUGCGGUGCUUGAGGACUGGAGAGGAGACUGGAAUUUACGGUGUAGCAGUGAAAUGCGUAGAGAUCGUAAGGAAGACCAGUGGCGAAGGCGAGUCUCUGGACAGGUACUGACGCUGAGGCACGAAGGCCAGGGGAGCAAACGGG
This 253-nucleotide ribosomal RNA is filed under the name uncultured bacterium. RNAcentral's name for it is "partial 16S ribosomal RNA". It matches the Rfam family "Bacterial small subunit ribosomal RNA", at positions 524 to 776 of the family's 1533-position model. The record is from RNAcentral.